Molecule: non-coding RNA, 1012 nt
Organism: Coturnix japonica (Japanese quail)
Lineage: Eukaryota; Metazoa; Chordata; Aves; Galliformes; Phasianidae
Source: RefSeq, a predicted model, not a curated record
UGUAACUGUGUAAAUGAAAGCAGAUCUGUCUCCAGGAACAGACACCUACUUAACAUUAGCUUAAGGAAAGCAUAAGGAUAGGUUCUUACUUAAAAGGCAGAGAGGAGAUUUGGACAGGCAUUUGCCUGCAUCACAAGAUAAAGCAGCUAACCCAGUCCUGAUUCUUAAAUCGAGGUGAAACAAACAAAUUUAAAAUAUUUUUGAAAUCCCUGUGAUGGUGAUGCUUUUCUCAGAAGACCAGAAUGAAUGUGCCUGAAGGAAAAACUCAUAGCUGCAUGCAGUGUAAGUCCAGGAGCUUUGAGCUGCUGCUGUUCUGAUCUUGCACCAAAUAGUUUGGAGAAGAAAGCACACCUCAUUCUCAGCCAGGUGUGGAAGUCUCUUACUGAGAACUUCUAUUCACUUGUGUAAUGGGCAUUUCUUAUAGAGGGGAAAAGGUAUGGUUUGACAUAUUCUAAAAGAUAUUAGAGGAAAGGUCGGUUUCUGGGACCGUCAGAAUAACCUUGGGACCAAAUGAUGUUAAUGAAGACAGAGGUUGAGGGAAGUUCAAAAGCUACACAAAUGCUCUGUCUGAAAUAAAAAUAAAAAUGAAAAUGAAAUUCAAAGGCAAGGCUGCCAUUCCCAAGGGAAUUUCUGAUUCCUUUGAUUACAUUAAUAGAGUUUUUCAAAGCAGAUGGACUGCAAAUGUAAUCCUGAAGACAAAUCUCACAAAGCACAAAGCAUGUUAAAGUAGGUAGACAGUAUCAGAGAUGGUCAUCUUCACCUGUAGGCACCUGAUUGCAGCUGCCUACCAUCUCUCUGCAAUCUCUGAAGAACGAAUUUUACAGGUACGAUUACUGUGAAUGUCGUUUCAUCAUGCAGGUUUCUUCAUAUAUAAGCUGGACUUACAACUUGCAAGGGAAACAUAUAGUGCGAAACAUAUGCAGGAUUCAUGAGUAAAUACUGACAGAAUUUAAGAGUAGCUGCAUGAAUCUAUAAGUGAUAGGCUUUGAGAUUAGCAAAACUUGCUGGAAAC